GUGGACAUCUGCGCUCCUCUCAUGGCUGAAAUGGAUGGUGAGACUUGAGAGCAACCCACCAGGCACACACCUGGUGCCACUAUCCUACCAUGGGACUGCACAGAUCCUGCACUCAUCCCUGCAUCCCCAGCCAAGGCCAUCACCAAGACAGAAGUGGUGCGAAGGAUGUGAGGAAACCACAGAUGCUAAACUUGAAUCAUCUUCUACUUUUUUUUCUCCUUGACCACUUCACUGUCCCAUCAGUGUGCCUCGCAGGAAUCCAGACCCAUUCAUCUUCACCUCUUCCCCUUUCAGGAAAUCAAGAGAUGAUAAGACUACAAGACUUGCCCAUGGCCAUAGCAUGGAACAAGUUCUAAUUUUAGAGUGGUGAUGAUCUGAGUUAGCCCCCAUAGAGCCCCACUAGAGCCCAGCAUGACAUUCCUGACAUAUCCAGGAUACCCGGCAUUCCUCCUACUUUUGUUCAGAUGCCUCCCAUGGAGAUGAUUUCAGCUGGGGAUGUCUCUAUCUGAUUCAUAGAGGAAUGGGACUAUUCAUGGACUAUUUUGGGAAGAGGGGAUCUAUCAGACAGACAACCUGAGAUGUAUGCAGGGGGACCACUUGGUGCUGUGCUCACACACAGUUGGAUGAUACACAGCCCAUGCCCACCCACUGCACUCCCUCCCAUAUGGCCUUCAUCCCCUAAACAGCUGGGGCUUCCCCCUGUACAAAUAUGCUGCACCUCAGUCCUCUGGGUUAGUUGGGGCUGUCGUUUCUCUGUUACAACUGCAAAAACACGAGAAGUUUCUCCCUUUAUUUGCAGGCUUGCACUUAUGCAUUUGGAUUUAGUGUGGUAUUUGCAAUGCUUUCUGUUUGAACAAUGGGCUCUCUCUCCACAAAUCCAGCUUUUGCACUGCCAGGGAAAGGCUGAUGUACUUGUUAAUAUGUGCACACUGAAAACACUGCAGCAGUUCUGGCAUUCUUUGCCCUCAAAUCUCAGUCCCCAAAUCAUGAGGUUUUGUAAAUAACCAAGUUAAUGACUCCUUUCUUUGUUUUCCAGGAUUUGAGUUCAGAUUUUCCAGCUUUUCUCCAAAAUACUAAAAAGGACAUUGCUUUCAUUUUGAUGUGACAACACAUAACAUCGUGCACUAACAGUAUCCUGGGAGCUACUGCCUCAAAAGAAACACUAAGUCCUAUGGGACAGACACGUCAGUCCUUAGCACUGAACAGACACUGAGACGAGAGCAGAAGGACUCCACUGAGAUGCUCAGACACCUGCAGGUGUCUCUUCUGUCCUUGGUUCCAGCUGCUCCUGCAGAUACCAAGGCAUUUUGAUGCAAAGCUGAGGCUGGAUCCAUGUGGAAGCAGCUGGAAGCAGCACAGAUGUAGGUGCUCACUUCUGCCAAAAGGGCACAGUAGGAGAGGAAACAGAAGAGAUUUCCUUAACAUAUUUUUUAUCUUUCUAAUAAGACACAGUGCCAAUAUGGGACUCCUUUCCCUGAUUUCUACUGUUGGUGGGUCAGACUCUGAAUCAAAAUGAAUUAUAUAUAUAGUCAGUGGAGACAGUGGCACAGCUGGUCCCAGUCUGGUGCAUCUUCAGAUAGGCAGCGAGGCUGCAAAAUGAAUUAAUCUCUGAUUAUGUCACUUGUUCUCCACUCUGUUCAAGAAUUUAACUGGGUCUCUGACUUUUCAGGAUGUUCAGCACUCUGGAAAUGGGGAUGAGAGGGCCGAGACAUCACUGUGACACCCACUUAUAGAGGAGCUGGGGCUGAUACCUCUGAUAUCUUCCCUUUUACCUGCUGUAGAAGACUUCCCCCUCCUCUAGGAGAUUUGAAGGACAUAUUUCCCUUGGUGAAAAGCAAAAAUGAAGCAAUAGCGAGCAAAGGUACUGGGGACUUAAUGGUCUUUCCUUGCCAUGGCCAAGCCCUGUGAGAAUAGCACUGAAAUGUGUACUGGAUUAUCUUAGAAUCAUAGAAUUGUUUGAGUUGGAAGGAACCUUUGAGCUCCAACUCCCUUGCAAUGAACAGGGAUGCGUACAGCAAGACCAGGGUGCUCAGAGCCCCAUCCUACCUGACCUCAAGUUCCUCCAGGGAUGGGGCAAUUAGCAGAUGGAUGAAAAGCCACAGGACUUCUGUUUUAAUGAUGGAUAUAAUUAGCUGCGCUCCUCCAGGAGGCUCUGCACAGCGGAACAGGCUGCUGCCACCCUCCAAACUGCUAGUUAUAGAUAGCAGAGGAAGAACAACACUUAAUCCCACUAACAAGAGAGCCAGGCUGUCAUCUUAAGAGCUUCCCAGCAGAGGAUGCUAAAGGAUGUUGUGAAAACAGGGUAAGGGUGCUAUUGUCUGAAUUGUUGGGUGGGAGACUGAGGGCAUGGAGACCCUGUAUGAGACCUGUGUAGGGCUCCAUGCUUCUGUUCUGCAGGACAAAAUGGCUCUGCUGGCACCUUAAGCAUCCCCUCUAGUCCAUCAGCUGUGCCCAAGGGUGAGCAGGGAGGGAUGGAGUUGGUUUCUGGGGAGAAAAAGAGCUCCCUGCAGCUAAAUGUGUGGAGGAAGAGUCUGACCCUCCUGGCAGCAGGCUGGUAUUCAGAGAUAUUCAGCCCCGAGCUGCAGGGUCCAGAGAUAUUCAGCCCUGCAAUGAGGAAAAGCCAUUCCUCAUCCCCACUUUUUCUCCCUGACCUUCCUAGACAUGAGAGGAAGAAAGGGAAAGAAAAAAAGAACGGGGAAAAAGACUCACAGAUCAAUCUAAGUAUUCAAUCACUUCCUCUUUGGCUAUUGCCCAUAAAUCACCAACAUCUCUGUCUCCUGCAGAAAAUAACUGUUAAAUCCGACAGCCAACUCCUAGCUAACAGAAAACAACCCCCUAACAAAGUGCUACAUCCCUCCUUCCCCUGAGAAAACUCCAUCCCUCUGUUAGCACAGCAGCUCUGCUCACUCUGCUUUCCAUUUAAGCUGCUUUAUCCUAUAGAAAAAAAAAUCAUGCUACCCACCUGUUGGUGUUGGCCACGGCUGGUACUCUCUGUAGCCUGGCUCCCACCUCCAACCCCAGUGAGCUACUGAGUGCCUGAGUCACCUAUUAAAAAAGGAAGCUGCAAGCUCAGCACUGAUCCCCUGUGCUGCCUGGCCAACCACAUGUCAUCGGCUUUGCUCCCAAAAUCAGCCGUCCUGAGCAAACACAGCUGCUAAGCAAAGCCCUUUGUGUAGGCGGGUGCACCCCAUGCAGGCCCGCUCCUGAUAUCCCAUAGGGUUGUGUAAUGGGACCUGAGCUCAGCUCAGCUUGCAGGGAGCUUGCAGGAGCUGAGGGAAGAGGGAAAGGCUGAUGGUGCAGGUUGUGACACAGUCCUGGCCUCUCAUUUGCUUGCCCAUCCUCACUGAUCCUCUACCAAUUAGCUUUGCGUUAGUUAUGCCCCACUGACUUGGCAUGCUCUAUGCCAUGGGACAUGAUAUGGGCUCCAUGCCCUUGUCAUGCCUCUACCUGGUCACCAUGUGACACAGUGAGGUUCCUGGUGAGACCUCAGCAUCUCCUUGCACCCUCCUGGAGCUGGAAACCCAUUCCUGCAGGAGAGAACCUCAUUCCUAAGCACCUUUAUCCCUGCAUAUAGGAAGUGCAGGUGCUAAAUCACACCCAUCCCACUCUUUUCCUAUCUUUGCCUCAUGGAGAAUCUAUCCUGCAACAAAAGAACCUCUUAAAUCCCGGUGAGGUAAUUUGCACAGCUGGGUGAGCACCCAUAAAAGCUGUCUGAGAAACCAGUGCUGCUGCUUAAUCCAGGAGCCCAGCAGCCUAUUGGUGGUGCUCAGUCAGCAUAGAUGGGUUUAUAUCUUUGCUCCCAGCCUGUGAAUUAGUGACCUGGUCCUGGGGAUGCUGAGAUGGAGGAGAUGCAUGCUGAGGGGAGCAGAGUAGCCUCCCUGCCCCAACUUGAGACUGCCAAUGGGUCACCUGUUUAUAUUAUAACUGCAUGUGCUAGCAAUUGACCUUUAGAAGUGAUUUUUUCCCUUGCUCACAAGAGCACCAAAAGUCCUUGAUUUUAGACACUUCUACAGACAUCUGUGGCUCGUCAGUGUCAGCUGGACUUCCCUUUGCAAGAGGCACUUCACAGCCCUCAGUCAAGUCCUGAAGCUACUUUGAAUAUUUUCGAACAAAGACUUGAGUGAAAGCUGAAGAGUUGUAAGGAAGUGGAGGAAGCUGAGGAAUUUCUGUUCUGGCAGCAAUCAGUAGAAUGUGUAUCCCAGAAGGAAAUACUAACCAUAGCCAAACGCACGUGGAGAACAACACUGCAUAUAACUCAGGCUGUGGGGGUCAGGCCAUUCACACAGUGACUGAGCACUGAAACAUGGAUAUGGAGUCUUUUCUUUUUGGCCACCACACAGACAUUCAAUAGCUGAAUAGCUCUAGCAAAUGAAUUAUCAGGUAUGAGAGUCAGAGGUAGGCACACAAGUUCUGUCUUACCAAGUGGUGCAGCAGUUACUUUCCGUGCCUGAGAGCAAAUAACCAUGAUAUGGCCAUAUUAUUAAUGCUCUUAAUCCAGCAGACCCCCUCCUGAAGCCCUCUGUUUGGCCCAGGGUCACAAACACAUUCCUCAAUGCACCCUGGAGCUGAGAGCAGAAGAGGGAGGGAGAAACAUUUCCUCCUGAAUGAAUCCUUCUCUGCCUCCUCUUCCCCAGGGGUCUAAGCUGAAGUGAAGCUCAUUUUCCUCCAAGGUUCAUAUUUGAUGUCUACUGUAUUGCAACUAGUUCUGAAUGUGAUUCUGACCUGGACUAGGUUCCAACCAAUCCUACAAUGCCUAACAGGUUCAUCAGAAUCCUGUCUGUAUCCUCUCUUGUGCUGACGAAGUCCCAGUAACUCGCAGCAUUUUGGGGUCAGGUUGUAGACAGAGUG
Non-coding RNA from Coturnix japonica (Japanese quail), 4848 nucleotides. NCBI's taxonomy places the organism in Eukaryota, Metazoa, Chordata, Aves, Galliformes, Phasianidae. The record is from RefSeq and is a predicted model, not a curated record.